This 101-nucleotide microRNA precursor is filed under the name Saccoglossus kowalevskii. RNAcentral's name for it is "microRNA sko-mir-242 precursor". Its record names the gene sko-mir-242. The stretch from base 9 to 90 matches the Rfam family "mir-242_2 microRNA precursor family". The record is from miRBase by way of RNAcentral. Lineage: Eukaryota; Metazoa; Hemichordata; Enteropneusta; Harrimaniidae.
CGAACCUCACUCUAAUGUGUUGCGUAGGCGUUGUGCACAGUGACGUAUUACAUAAUUCCUGUGCAUUUCUCCCACGCAUAGCGUUGAAGUGAAAUGUCAUC